This 494-nucleotide ribosomal RNA is filed under the name uncultured bacterium. RNAcentral describes it as "partial 16S ribosomal RNA". It matches the Rfam family "Bacterial small subunit ribosomal RNA", at positions 28 to 507 of the family's 1533-position model. The record is from RNAcentral.
GACGAACGCUGGCGGCGUGCUUAACACAUGCAAGUCGAACGGAAAGGCCUGCUUUCCCUUGUGGAUUGCGGGUACUCGAGUGGCGAACGGGUGAGUAACACGUGAGUGAUCUGCCCCCAACUUGGGUAUAAGCCUGGGAAACUGGGUCUAAUUCCCGAUAGGACUGCAGGGUGGUGCCUGUGGUGGAAAACGAUUUUCUAGUGGUUGGGGAUGAGCUCGCGGCCUAUCAGCUUGUUGGUGGGGUAAUGGCCUACCAAGGCGGCGACGGGUAGCCGGCCUGAGAGGGUGGACGGCCACAUUGGGACUGGGAUACGGCCCAGACUCCUACGGGAGGCAGCAGUGGGGAAUAUAGCACAAUGGGCGGAAGCGUGAAGCAGCGACGCCGCGUGGGGGAUGACGGCCUUCGGGUUGUAAGCUCCUUUCGACCGCGAGGAAGCCACCUGGUUGGAAGGGUGGUGACGGUAGUGGUAGAAGAAGCACCGGCUAACUACGUG